RNAcentral lists this unclassified non-coding RNA (444 nucleotides) under uncultured Russulaceae. Its description in RNAcentral is "sequence contains ITS2". The stretch from base 1 to 154 matches the Rfam family "5.8S ribosomal RNA". Lineage: Eukaryota; Fungi; Basidiomycota; Agaricomycetes; Russulales; Russulaceae. The record is from RNAcentral.
AACUUUUGGCUAUGGAUCUCUUGGCUCUCGCAUCGAUGAAGAACGCAGCGAAAUGCGAUACGUAAUGUGAAUUGCAGAAUUCAGUGAAUCAUCGAAUCUUUGAACGCACCUUGCGCCCCUUGGCAUUCCGAGGGGCACACCCGUUUGAGUGUCGUGAAAUUCUCAAACCUUCUUGGUUUCUUGAUCAAGAUGGCUUUGGACUUUGGAGGCAUUUUGCUGGCUUUGCGAAAAGCCAGCCCCUCUUAAAUCCAUGAGUGGGAUCCCCUUUGCCGAUCCACAGGCGUGAUAAGAUAUAUAUACGUCUUGGGAUUUGCCCUGUUCCUUGUGAACCCGCUUCCCUCCGUCUCAUGGGAGACAUCGUUCGAGUUUGCUCGACCCACGACCCUUGACCUCUAAACGCGUGAGACUACCCGCUGAACCUAAGCAUAUCAAUAAGCGGAGGCU